AGCAGCCGCGGUAAUUCCAGCUCCAAUAGCGUAUAUUAAAGUUGUUGCAGUUAAAAAGCUCGUAGUUGAAUUUCGGGAUCAGUAUGUUGGUCGUGCUUCGGUACGUACUGUCAUUACUGGUUUCUCCCUUCUGAAGAACCUUGAUGUCAUUAAUUUGGUGUCUUGGGGAAUCAGGACUGUUACUUUGAAAAAUUAGAGUGUUUAAAGCAAGCAUACGCUUGAAUACAUUAGCAUGGAAUAAUGAAAUAGGACGUUUGAUUCUAUUUUGUUGGUUUCUAGGAUCGACGUAAUGAUUAAUAGGGAUAGUUGGGGGCAUUAGUAUUCAAUUGUCAGAGGUGAAAUUCUUGGAUUUAUUGAAGACUAACUACUGCGAAAGCAUUUGCCAAGGAUGUUUUCAUUAAUCAAGAACGAAAGUUAGGGGAUCGAAGACGAUCAGAUACCGUCGUAGUC
This 450-nucleotide ribosomal RNA is filed under the name uncultured Glomus. RNAcentral's name for it is "SSU rRNA". It matches the Rfam family "Eukaryotic small subunit ribosomal RNA", at positions 569 to 1025 of the family's 1831-position model. Lineage: Eukaryota; Fungi; Glomeromycota; Glomeromycetes; Glomerales; Glomeraceae. The record is from RNAcentral.